AAUUACUUGGCCGAGUGGUUAAGGCGAAAGAUUAGAAAUCUUUUGGGCUUUGCCCGCGCAGGUUCGAGUCCUGCAGUUGUCG
RNAcentral lists this transfer RNA (82 nucleotides) under Saccharomyces cerevisiae (brewer's yeast). It matches the Rfam family "tRNA". From Rfam's summary of the family: Transfer RNA (tRNA) molecules are approximately 80 nucleotides in length. Lineage: Eukaryota; Fungi; Ascomycota; Saccharomycetes; Saccharomycetales; Saccharomycetaceae. The record is from RNAcentral.